This 230-nucleotide long non-coding RNA is filed under the name Elaeis guineensis (African oil palm). Its description in RNAcentral is "long non-coding RNA (EGUI_LNC074548)". Lineage: Eukaryota; Viridiplantae; Streptophyta; Magnoliopsida; Arecales; Arecaceae. The record is from RNAcentral.
GGCCUCCGCCUCUGAAGGCAAAGGGCCUCGACCGUCGGAAGUACUGUCGGUUCCAUCAGAGCCACGGCCACGACACCGAGCGGUGCAUCCAGUUGAAGGAUGAGAUCGAAAAUCUCAUCCGCCGGGGGUACCUCGGCAAAUUCCGGAAGGGUCCGCCGACCCGACCGAUUGCCGAUCGACGCCCCCAGCCGACUGAAGAGGCGCCGACUAACCAGCCGACGGCCGGAGUC